UACACGAAGUAGGGAGAGUUGAGACCCUUUGGUAGGAUUAGAUGAGGGAACUGGGCUCCUUUCAGAAAGAGAAAGGAAAUAGCCCCUGCAUCUCUGUGCUGACAGUCCCUGGUUUUGACUCUUGCCUGUGCGCAGGCCACAUUGCUCCUCCUAGAGCAGGUCCCCAUGCCUGCCCAAAUUCACCUGCUGUUCCGUAAGACCAGGCUCCUAGCAACAAGCCCAUCUAAUCCAUUCAGUGUCGACCCUCAGUCAAAGGAACAAGUGAUGGAAGUACAGUUAGUUAGAAGAAGGCGUUAUCAGAGGUCAUCCAGCCACCUUCACACACAGGUUUAUGUUUAGAAACCGAUCACACAGCUAAGCUGUCCUGGCUGAGCGUUACCAACCAGGCUCACCCUCCGAGGACUGUACUCUACCUACCACUUCCCACCAUCCUGUGACAGGCACUCUCACCCUCACUGUAAGGUAAGAACAUCACGACAGUGUUACAUUUCAUGUAUUUAGCACAGAGAAUUCUAAAAUACAUUUUUUUCAGUUUUGAAGAGUUCAGGGAC
This 551-nucleotide long non-coding RNA is filed under the name Fukomys damarensis (Damara mole-rat). RNAcentral describes it as "lncRNA (ENSFDAG00000033513.1)". Lineage: Eukaryota; Metazoa; Chordata; Mammalia; Rodentia; Bathyergidae. The record is from RNAcentral.